RNAcentral lists this ribosomal RNA (505 nucleotides) under uncultured bacterium. RNAcentral describes it as "partial 16S ribosomal RNA". It matches the Rfam family "Bacterial small subunit ribosomal RNA", at positions 28 to 507 of the family's 1533-position model. The record is from RNAcentral.
GACGAACGCUGGCGGCGUGCCUAAUACAUGCAAGUGGGACGCAAGGAAACACACUGUGCUUGCACACCGUGUUUUCUUGAGUCGCGAACGGGUGAGUAACGCGUAGGUAACCUGCCUAUUAGCGGGGGAUAACUAUUGGAAACGAUAGCUAAUACCGCAUAAUAUUAAUUAUUGCAUGAUAAUUGAUUGAAAGAUGCAAGCGCAUCACUAGUAGAUGGACCUGCGUUGUAUUAGCUAGUUGGUAAGGUAAGAGCUUACCAAGGCGACGAUACAUAGCCGACCUGAGAGGGUGAUCGGCCACACUGGGACUGAGACACGGCCCAGACUCCUACGGGAGGCAGCAGUAGGGAAUCUUCGGCAAUGGACGAAAGUCUGACCGAGCAACGCCGCGUGAGUGAAGAAGGGUUUCGGAUCGUAAAGCUCUGUUGUAAGUCAAGAACGUGUGUGAGAGUGGAAAGUUCACACAGUGACGGUAGCUGACCAGAAAGGGACGGCUAACUACGUG